This 4808-nucleotide long non-coding RNA is filed under the name Podarcis lilfordi (Lilford's wall lizard). Lineage: Eukaryota; Metazoa; Chordata; Lepidosauria; Squamata; Lacertidae. The record is from RNAcentral.
AGCUGUAAGUUAUAUGAGGGACUACCUUUGAAGACUGCUCUCAAACUGCAAUUAGCUUCAGGGGCUAGUCAUAGAGAAGACAUUUCAGUGAUGCUUAAAGAGCUACACUAACUCGCAGGCCAAUUUCAGACACAAUUCCGCGCACCGAGGCUUGCUUUAAAAGCUGUCCGCAACCUUGGAAAGGGAUACCUAUUUCCAAAUUAAAUACCUUCAGAAGUCCCCCUCCAAGUAUCCCAUCAUCAGACAGCGACUGGGCCUUCUUGUUUGGGACACCCGAGUUUCCCCUGGAGAAUGUAGGCCUGGCACCUUCAUUUGUCUUCUUAAAAGGCUUCUUAACUUUAUUUCCCCCAGGCCUACUAAUUUUACGAGAUUUUUAUGCUACCAUUUUAACAUUUGAUUGCUUUUGGAUUAAGCUGGCGACAUUGUCAAAUGCAUCUUACUGUUGUCUUUAAUAAAAAGCUGUGAUUUAAUUGAAAUCUAUUUGAGCUAGGUCAGUGGAAUAGUAAAGUGCUUUUAACAUGUAAGAAGGUUAAAUUUGUCCACGAUGCAUGGAAAAAAAUUGGUGUAUUUAUACCCUCUUGAUCCCAGCUUUAUACUUUAGAAGAGGCAGGCACUAGCACUCUGUUUCAGGAAUGAUCUGAUCAGUAUUCCACACUCCUCUCUUCCUAAUAAGCAGACUUGGAAAAACACGUUUCUCUUGUGAUCAGUCAUCCAUAUGAAGACUUUAAUAAAACAAACAAUUUAAGUAAAAAGCCUGAUACAUUCAUGCAGCACUCUCCAUAAGCCAAUUAGAGAGACUAAUUGUGGUAGGCCUCAAAAGUGAGUUAGCAAGUUUAUUCUAAUGAACAAAGUAUAGAGGAGGAAUAGAACAUGUACUUGCUGCUGGGAAGGCGAUCCAUUCAUGUGGUCUUGAAAGGAUGCAAAUAGUCUUGUCUGAAAGAUAACUUAUUUGUUCCUCUAUUGGACAGCAAAAGGCAUUGCGCAAGUUGGCUGGCAUCCCAUUUGAAAGGUGCUGAGUCAAUUGACUUCCUGGUAUGUUGUGUCUGCUGCGGCAAGCUUUAAACAGUGCCCCUGAAAAUACCUGUUUUCUUGUGUAUUCUUCCCAUCUUUUAGCCAGAUAACAUAGUUAGUAAAUUCAUGUGGUAGAGUCCUUCCUAGUUUAUACAGUGCCAAGUGGGGAAGUAUGGUGUGUGUGUGUGUUUUCGUUAACUCCAAUUAAAAAUCAACAGCAACAACUUCCUUGCAUGUGGAAAACUAACACAUCAAGUAAAAAAACCUUCUAACUUUUCCUUCAUGAUUUUUGUUAUUUAUGUGCAAGAAGCUUCCAUCAAAAUAUUCAUAAAUGCUAUACUGCAUCUGCUGCCUAGUUUAGGAAUGCCUUUACUAGGUGAUUUUGCUUGUUGUGUAAAUUAUCCUCCCCACCUUCAUACUAUUUCUGCUACCUCUUCCACAUUUAUUCUUAACUUAUUUUAAUUUUGCACUAGAGGGUGUGCAGAAGAAGGGCAUGUAUAUUGCAGGGAGAAGGCUGUCCAUAGAGUUUUCCGUUCAUAGGGGUUGGUACCCAUAACCUGCCAGGGCUGGUGUGCAGGUUUUGCCUACACCAUAAAAUGACAAAGAGCCUAUCUCACCAGCAAGGCCACUAUUUUCAAUUUGCACAGGACACUUGAAAUGGCUGGAAGCAACAUGUGAGAAUUCUGGGUUCACAUGCCUCAUGCCUUGCAGUUUAAGGAGUCCCACGGAGAGUGCCCUGAGGAACCAAAGCAGAUGGAGGAAUGAUGGGAGGAGGAGUGAUGAGACCUUCUGAAAGUUGUCAGACCUCUGGCAAGAAGGAUCUUUACCUUCUCCCAGCAGUCCACUGGGUGAGGAAAGAAAGGGAGAAGUUGGGGAAAAGAGAUAGACCAGACCACUUCUGUAUUUGACCCCUCCAUGCCCCUGCCCACAUGCACCCCCUGACAGAUUACUGUCAAUGGACUGCAGCACCAUAGCAGAAAAAAAUGUUACCCCUCAUUGGUGAAGACAGGAUCACAGGUGUGGAUCACAGGUAUGACUCAGUGUAAGGCAACUUGAUAUAUUUACUGUGCCUACUGAAUCCAGCACUUUCUAGGUGUCAACAAAAAUGUGCACAGAUUGUUCUGUUUCUCAUAACAAAUUAAAUUGUGAAGCACGGCAAGCAUAAGUGAUUCAUGCGACAAAUGUGUAGAUAAAAAAAAUAUAUUUAAAUUAUACCAGGCUUUAUCAUUACUGAUUUAACACCGGGUGGGGUGGGGUGGAUUGUGAUACAAGUUCUUUUAAGGUUGCAACCCUAAAUCCACUUACCUGGGAGUAAGUCCCAUUCACUUCAACAGGACUUACUUCUGAGUAGACAUGGUUGGGAUUGCUCUGCUAAGCUUCCAAUGUAUUUUAUUUUCAAUCAUUUCUUUCCUUGCCUCACAAAGUCAUGCAUGCAUCCCCAAGUAUAACUCUUCGGUUGUAGCUAAUAUUCUGCAACUUGCAGGUGCAGCUAUGUCACUUCCAGAGCAAAGACUGGGUUGCAAGGGAGAAACAACCCUAAGCGUGAGGUGUUUUGGAAGUAGAUCCUACUAGUUUCAGCCUAAAACGAUAUGACAGCAAACUUCAUUAAUUUAUUAAUAUUGUAUUUUUACUUCUCAAGAGGCAGGAAGCAUUGCUGGGAUUUCCUGCCUCAGGUAACAGGAGAGCGUGAGUGGUCUUUGGUAGUAAGUACUGUAGCCAGUAACCGAUUGCAUGAUAAGCAGUGCUUACCUAACCUCCAAACACUUUAGUCACUGCUGCUCACAGGGUGGGGAGAGGCAAGGUGGUGAGGUCAGUGCGGUACAAAUACACCAGGUACAAAUACACCAGUGGAGUCAAUCUGGCACUCUUGCUAGUAAGUUCGCACUGUGAUAACCCUCCCUCUGCCGUCCCUGCUCCCUCUUGGGAGCUGUUGGGAGGUCAGCAUCUGCUGUUCCACCUUCUGCAGUAAAAUAUCCAAUGCUAACCCUGUUUUACUCAGAAGUAAAUCCCACUGAACACAGUGAGACUUACUCCCAGGCCUAAAUGUUUUACAUAGGAUUUACUUUAGAGUAAGCUCUAUUUAAACAAAUAGAGAAAAUAGGUACCUGAUAUGGUGCUUUGACCACCAUGUCAGUGCAGUGUCAACAUUAUGAACAGGCUUCUAGGAUUGUGACCUUCAGUACAGCUACUCAUAUAACUCUCUGAAUAAAUAAUAUCUGCUCAGUCCGUGUGCCACUGUAUUUUCAUUGGCUGUUGCCAACACCUUUGGUGUUCUUGUUUAACCAAAAGAUAGGCCAAAGGUGUGUGGCAAGUAUCUUUUUAUUCUAGCUGUUGCAGUUCCAAGGCCAUCGCUCCAGCUGACAAGACCAAAUUUAGAAAAGAAUUAUUUUUUUAACCUCAUCUCUUUCUCUGGAAAAAGGGACAAAGAGCAAGAUUUCAUUGUCCUGUUAUUUGUCUUCCUUUUGCCGCAGCUUCCUAGACCUCAAAGGUUGAAUUUUACAGCUGACUGGGUUGUUAUAAACUCUAAAGUCAUGUAAAGAAAUGGAAUGUGCACCAACUGUAAGCUAUUAACAUGCUUAUCUGUUGACAAAUAAUUAUGUUUUACUUUUGUCUCACCUGCUAAUCUUUACUCUCACUUAGGUUUAAAGGUGAAAGAUCACAAGCUCAAGAGAUUCAGUUUCAGUUUCAAGAUUGAUAAAAUCUUUUCUCUUGUGCUAUUGACCCAAUUGCACAAUUCCACUAAAACCUAUCCACCAGAUGUUUUUUAAAGAUGCAUGGCCAAGAAAUGUAAACGAGCAACGCUACAGCCUUGGGAUACAUAGAUGUCAUCUCGACCAAGAUACAGUACAUUUCUGCAGUGCUGUAGAUUAUGUGAACUACAUGAGUGGGGCUCUGAAGUAUCUUAAGCAGAAUCUGCUGACUGGUAAAUGGAACUAACAUCAUUAUCCUGAGUGCAUUAUUUGACCCAUAGAUUUCAGUGCUCAGCAUGGCAAUCUUUCUCAGUUCACAUUUGUGAGUAUAGGAUUCCUAAAUGUAAGGAUAGCCAUAAACCACAUCAUAUGUUUAAUUUCAGCAAGCACAACUGAUUACUCUAAAAAGCCCUAAAGUUUUUUCUUUGGUCUACAAUGUUUUCAGAGCUGUUGUGUAGGGAGUGCUCCAUACCUCUGCCCUCCUGCCCGUCCCUCGCUCGCUCGAAUGUCAGUUUUGUUCCUGGGGAAGGUUCUGAGAGUCCCUCUGAUUGCUGAGAGUCCCUUUCCCUUGCUGCUCUACAAGCAGGCAACAACAUUAUUUGGGGGGAGUGGGGGAGAAACUAGAUAAAAAGAAACAACCACCAUCAAUUUCCAAGACCAACAAGGAGAGUGCCAAGAGGUCCACAGCAACUCUGAGCACUAGGAGCCACCAACCCAUUGAUCCCCAGCUCAACUUAAUGGUUACUGGAGGCAGGCAGGGUAUGUGUGCACACGCAAGGGUGCAUUCCCCCUCCCCCCCGGGAAGGUGGGUGGGCUGGAUGGGAUCUGCCAAGAGAGCCACUUCCCAGCCUCUCUCAACAGCACUCUCCCCACUUUAUGCAAUUUCACAUAUAUGUACAGAGUUUGGGAACGUAACCCCAGCUUAAGUGCAGGAGAUGGGGACGCAGGUAUUACAACAUUCAGACUGAUAACAUUUGGCCUCUAUGCUUUUGCUUUGGUGCAAACCAACCUUAGCAUUGUAUUGCCGCUUGCAUUUAUUAAAAAACUGCAUUAAAAUGCUUUUUACUUUUAAAUGUUACUAUGUAUUAAAACUUCACUUCACAAACC